This 279-nucleotide ribosomal RNA is filed under the name uncultured bacterium. Its description in RNAcentral is "partial 16S ribosomal RNA". It matches the Rfam family "Bacterial small subunit ribosomal RNA", at positions 506 to 784 of the family's 1533-position model. The record is from RNAcentral.
UGCCAGCCGCCGCGGUAAUACGGAGGGUGCAAGCGUUAUCCGGAUUUACUGGGUUUAAAGGGUCCGCAGGCGGACUUCUAAGUCAGUGGUGAAAGCCCGGAGCUCAACUUCGGAACUGCCAUUGAUACUGGAGGUCUUGAAUAUAGUGGAGGUUGGCGGAAUGUAGCAUGUAGCGGUGAAAUGCGUAGAUAUGCUACAGAACACCGAUUGCGAAGGCAGCUGACUACACUAUUAUUGACGCUGAGGGACGAAAGCGUGGGGAGCGAACAGGAUUAGAUA